Molecule: transfer RNA, 75 nt
Filed under: Fodinibius sp.
Lineage: Bacteria; Pseudomonadati; Balneolota; Balneolia; Balneolales; Balneolaceae
Also listed under: 3 other names
Description: tRNA-Asn
Rfam family: tRNA
About the family: Transfer RNA (tRNA) molecules are approximately 80 nucleotides in length.
Source: RNAcentral
UCCUCGGUAGCUCAGUGGCAGAGCAAUCGGCUGUUAACCGAUCGGUCGUAGGUUCGAAUCCUACCCGGGGAGCCA